RNAcentral lists this long non-coding RNA (239 nucleotides) under Homo sapiens (human). Its description in RNAcentral is "HSALNT0365764". The record is from RNAcentral. Lineage: Eukaryota; Metazoa; Chordata; Mammalia; Primates; Hominidae.
CAGCGCAUGCUGCUUGGUAAUCACUGAGUUGGCUGGACUGUCUUCUCUGGGCUGAAGUCAACAGGGAGCAGGACUGUAUACUCUUGCAUUUGAGGAUUUAACCUACUGCAAUGUGGUCAUGAUGGCUGAGGAUAGAGGUGGAACAGGUGCCAUGCUGCUAUCACAAGACGGAGACCACAUACUCUAAGAAUGCUGAACAGAAAAAUAAAAGGAGUCUGAGUCCCUGAUGACAUAAUAGA